UACGUAGGGUGCAAGCGUUAAUCGGAAUUACUGGGCGUAAAGCGUGCGCAGGCGGUUUUGUAAGUCUGUCGUGAAAGCCCCGGGCUUAACCUGGGAACUGCGUUUGAAACUGGGAGACUUGAGUGUGGCAGAGGGGGGUGGAAUUCCACGUGUAGCAGUGAAAUGCGUAGAUAUGUGGAGGAACACCGAUGGCGAAGGCAGCCCCCUGGGUUAACACUGACGCUCAUGCACGAAAGCGUGGGGAGCAAACAGG
RNAcentral lists this ribosomal RNA (253 nucleotides) under uncultured bacterium. RNAcentral describes it as "partial 16S ribosomal RNA". It matches the Rfam family "Bacterial small subunit ribosomal RNA", at positions 524 to 776 of the family's 1533-position model. The record is from RNAcentral.